This 233-nucleotide ribosomal RNA is filed under the name uncultured bacterium. Its description in RNAcentral is "partial 16S ribosomal RNA". It matches the Rfam family "Bacterial small subunit ribosomal RNA", at positions 118 to 347 of the family's 1533-position model. The record is from RNAcentral.
UGAGGAACAUGACCUUCGGCGGGGGAUAGCCGGCCCAACGGCCGGGUAAUACCGCGUACGACCACAUGGGGACAUCCCUGAGUGGUGAAAGCAGCAAUGCGCCGAUGGAGUGCCUCGCGGCCUAUCAGCUAGUUGGGUGAGGUAACGGCUCACCAAGGCAACGAUGCGUAGCCGACCUGAGAGGGUGAUCGGCCACAUUGGAACUGAGACACGGUCCAGACCUNUACGGGAGG